RNAcentral lists this ribosomal RNA (162 nucleotides) under uncultured bacterium. RNAcentral's name for it is "partial 16S rRNA". It matches the Rfam family "Bacterial small subunit ribosomal RNA", at positions 355 to 508 of the family's 1533-position model. The record is from RNAcentral.
UAGGGAAUCUUCGGCAAUGGACGAAAGUCUGACCGAGCAACGCCGCGUGAGUGAAGAAGGUUUUCGGAUCGUAAAACUCUGUUGGUAGAGAAGAACGUUGGUGAGAGUGGAAAGCUCAUCAAGUGACGGUAACUACCCAGAAGGGGACGGCUAACUACGUGC